CCUACGGGUGGCCGCAGUGGGGAAUAUUGCACAAUGGGGGAAACCCUGAUGCAGCGACGCCGCGUGAGGGAAGAAGUAUUUCGGUAUGUAAACUUCUAUCAGCAGGGAAGAAAAUGACGGUACCUGACUAAGAAGCCCCGGAUAACUACGGGCCAGCAGCCGCGGUAAUACGUAGGGGGCAAGCGUUAUCCGGAUUUACUGGGUGUAAAGGGAGCGUAGACUGUUUAGCAAGUCAGAAGUGAAAGCCCGGGGCUCAACGCCGGGACUGCUUUGGAAACUGUUGAACUAGAGUGCAGGAGAGGUGAGUGGAAUUCCUAGUGUAGCGGUGAAAUGCGUAGAUAUUAGGAGGAACACCAGUGGCGAAGGCGGCUUACUGGACUGUAAAUGACGCUGAGGCUCGAAAGCGUGGGGAGCAAACAGGAUUAGAUACCCGAGUAGUC
RNAcentral lists this ribosomal RNA (440 nucleotides) under uncultured bacterium. RNAcentral describes it as "partial 16S ribosomal RNA". It matches the Rfam family "Bacterial small subunit ribosomal RNA", at positions 338 to 795 of the family's 1533-position model. The record is from RNAcentral.